CCUACGGGCGGCAGCAGUAGGGAAUCUUCCACAAUGGGCGAAAGCCUGAUGGAGCAACGCCGCGUGGGUGAAGAAGGUCUUCGGAUCGUAAAACCCUGUUGUUAGAGAAGAAAGUGCGUGAGAGUAACUGUUCACGUUUCGACGGUAUCUAACCAGAAAGCCACGGCUAACUACGUGCCAGCAGCCGCGGUAAUACGUAGGUGGCAAGCGUUAUCCGGAUUUAUUGGGCGUAAAGGGAACGCAGGCGGUCUUUUAAGUCUGAUGUGAAAGCCUUCGGCUUAACCGGAGUAGUGCAUUGGAAACUGGGAGACUUGAGUGCAGAAGAGGAGAGUGGAACUCCAUGUGUAGCGGUGAAAUGCGUAGAUAUAUGGAAGAACACCAGUGGCGAAAGCGGCUUUCUGGUCUGUAACUGACGCUGAGGUUCGAAAGCGUGGGUAGCAAACAGGAUUAGAUACCCCUGUAGUC
This 465-nucleotide ribosomal RNA is filed under the name uncultured bacterium. Its description in RNAcentral is "partial 16S ribosomal RNA". It matches the Rfam family "Bacterial small subunit ribosomal RNA", at positions 338 to 795 of the family's 1533-position model. The record is from RNAcentral.